Phoenix dactylifera (date palm) is the source of this 101-nucleotide small nuclear RNA. Lineage: Eukaryota; Viridiplantae; Streptophyta; Magnoliopsida; Arecales; Arecaceae. The record is from RefSeq and is a predicted model, not a curated record.
AUCUCUUCGGAGACAUCAAUAAAAUUGGAACGAUACAGAAAAGAUUAGCAAGCCCUUACGCAAAAAUGACACGCAUAAAUCGAGAAAUAAUCUAAAUUUUU